Molecule: long non-coding RNA, 1073 nt
Filed under: Pogona vitticeps (central bearded dragon)
Lineage: Eukaryota; Metazoa; Chordata; Lepidosauria; Squamata; Agamidae
Description: lncRNA (ENSPVIG00000021474.1)
Source: RNAcentral
GGCGUGGAAAGGGCUAUAUCGCCGUGUGUUUCUUCCCUCGGUCACGGGGGAGGGAAUUCACCGCCCUGGAGAGUUUGGUGCCUGAGGCGGCUGCUUCCUUUCGCUUCUCGGGCGGGCCCUCUGGCUACAACCCGGUUGACAGUUCGUUAGGUGGAACAUGCAGGAAGGAAAGCGAAGACUGUUGACCCCAGCGCCACUUCAAACUUUGCGGGAUAGGACGUGUGUGUGUGCGUGUUGCGGGGCGGGGGUGGUGGUGGAAGGAAGUUUUCGUCAGCAAUUGUGAGCCUUCGCUAAUACAUUAAAUUGCGAGGAAAACGCGCCAAAACCUCUCGACAGUGUCUUGCGGGUGCGGAGGCCUCGACACGUCCUCUGCCUCGCUCCGUCUUAUUCCCUACCUUUGCGCAAUACCUAAGCCUUUUUUUCCCCGUCUUGCCUGAGGGAGAGACACUACCUGCGUUUUCGAAGACCGCGGAAACUUCGUAAGGCAGGAAGGAGGGACGGGUCACUUUUCGGCGGCCCUCCGCCCUCUUCUUCUUUCCUUCCCUUUCCUCGUCCUACCGCCAAGCAGCUGCGGGCCUCCAGGGGAUCAGCCUUUCCUGCGCUGGCCGGGCAGGCGGCGGCGGCGGCUGCGCGCCCGCUGCUUCUGCUCCCAGUUAGAGGUGGCUCCUCCAUUUCCAUAUCAUCACUGGUGUUGCAACCUCACAGUCCUCUGCUGUUCUAUAGUGAAGGAGAAAAUGUAGAAGAAAGGAAGUGAAGGGGAGUGGUGUCUCCCAGUCCCACACUGACUCAGUGGAGAUCAAAGAAGCAUUCAGUUGACAGUUGCUCUGGAUGCCAAAGGCUUUUCCAUUGACAUCUUCCGUUCCCACUGUUGGCAAUCACUAUCACUUCCUGCCUUGAGAUCAACAAUUACACAAGUUAGUUGGACAUUAAUCUUAUUAUCUCAUAAUGUUUUGUUCUUGUUUUGCUUUCCUAUUUGGAAUAUUCUCCAGGCAGGGCUUGGACGUUUCUUGCAUCUUUUGCUUGCAAGGGACAUUAAUAAUAAAGGUUUGUUUAUUUUUCUGUUGCUAUAGCCU